AGGCUCUGCAGUAGGAAAUGAGACCCAGAAAGGCAUGUAGAGGUUUGUGGGCUUUGGGAGGACAGAUGGCUGUAAUUCCCCUCACACGAUCCCGAGUGAGGUGACGGGUGCCAUGGGAAAGACAAUGUCCCAAGAAGACCACAGAGGGCCGGCACCAUUGCAGCUUCUUCUUAGAGGCCUUGCAGCUCUGUUCAGCAAGGUAACAGAGUAAAUCUUAUGAUACCCG
Molecule: non-coding RNA, 226 nt
Organism: Pelobates cultripes (western spadefoot toad)
Lineage: Eukaryota; Metazoa; Chordata; Amphibia; Anura; Pelobatidae
Source: the annotation of a GenBank genome assembly